Molecule: long non-coding RNA, 2186 nt
Organism: Apodemus sylvaticus (European woodmouse)
Lineage: Eukaryota; Metazoa; Chordata; Mammalia; Rodentia; Muridae
Exons: 3
Source: RefSeq, a predicted model, not a curated record
ACAAAUGGAUCCUGGGCAGAUGGCCAGCAGCGCCUGCAUGCCUUGGGUCUCCCAUCCUAGGAGAAGGCUCAUGGCCUCCUGCUACCCUCUCUGGGUAUCUUUCCUCAAGAGAUACUCUUAGUCCCUUCUCAGCAAACAGGAACUUUCUACAAGCCAGCCACCACCACACGUGCUGUACUGGAGAUGCAGGCAAAAUGGCUGCUUACAGACAGCCGGCGCCGAGGACUGCCUUGCAAGAGUAGGGAGCUGGAGCUCCCCUCCUUGUUGGAGUGGCUCCAGCGGGCCUCCUCCAGGCUUGGCGCCAGCUCUACAGCGCAUGAAGAGGCUGUGCUGAAGCACACCGUGCAGUCUGCACUAGGACAUGGCUGGCUUGUGGAGGCUCCUGGAAGGCAUCCGCGCCAUGGCCAAAGUAUCCGUAGGAACAGACAUCACUGGUUAGGUCCUGCCUGACUGAGUGCAGGACCGAGUACCCGUUCUUGGUUCUGGAGCCUGGGCUCUCCGGGUCUGGGGCGGCGAGCUGAGAGGGCAAGGGCGUGGGUGGCAUGCACAGCACCAAAGGAAGUUCUGUGCCUGCCAGUGCCCGGCUCUCUGCCAAUUCGGAGGAAGCUGCCUAGCUUACUGGACCCACCUUCUGCCUCCUGCGCCUCCUCCUCUAGGGUGCCCUCUGCACCGGGAAGUGGGCUUGAGGCCGUGAAGUCCACGGUGUAAAGUCCUGUUUGAGGCUGAGAAUGUCAACAACUUUGAUUAUUUUGGCUGCAAUUAGAAACUUAUAUGUGUGCUUUGUGUGGUCAGAAGACAGCUGAGCAGGAGAUGGUUCCCUUCUACCAUGCAGAUGGGAACUGAACUUAGCCAUCAGCCUUGGUGAAACAUCCUCACAGACAUCCAGCGAUAUUAUUUAACAAGAUAUCUUAGGGGCAUGGUGGCUUACACUGACCCACUAAAAUGGUCCAUCACACCCAGGAAUAAGGACGGUGAGUCUAAUCUAUGAACAUCAGGGAGAUCAAGAAGUGAAUUGAUCAUCUUGAAGUCAUGUAAUGAACAGUGAACGAAGGGACAAAGGAGAAGACACAGGUCUACUGAGAUCUUAACAAGGGAGGGUCUGAGGCAAAGAGGCCAGAGGACAUUUCUGGAAGUUUGUAUGCUUUAUCUUGAUAGUUUUGGUUACAAAUACUGACUUGUCUGGUUUGAGAAAAUUUGGAGGGAGCCAUGCUAGAGGUAGAAUGGGAACUGUGAGUUGCCAAAGCCUCCACGACCCAGGGUGGGCUUCUUUGAGGACCUCAGCUGAAGGGAUUUGCUCAUCCUCUGUCUCAAUAUGCACCCAAUUCUUUCAGGGCCCAGUGGGUUUCUUCCCUGUGGGCUAUUCUUACUUUAUAGGUCCCAAUUCCCAUAGUCUAGACUGUCUUUCUCAGGAAUGCCCUUUCUCCUAGGAUGGAAAACAGAAACUUCAGCCAUCAGUCUCCGGUCAGAUGGCCACAUUUAGGCAUUUUGGUUCUAUAAGCCACCUUCAAAUUAGGUUUCUAUUUACUGAAAAAAUAAAAAAGGAAAAAAAAAAUGAAGAAAAUCAAAUAGUAAAACCCAUACAGCUAUGCUUAGGAAGGAAAACCUCUUGUGAGGUCUAGCUUUGUAUGUAGAGUUGUUGGCAUCUUGUAAUGGUUUAUAACCCUCUUUGUCACAGUAUACCCUGAGGGUUGAAGCCUUCCCCAAAUCCUACCUAUCCCACAAGGUCGAGUUCAUUCCCCUCCCCUAAUUUCUUGUUUACUUUAGUCCCAAGUUCUCCCAUCUUCUAAACUCUUUUUGUCAUUUACUUUGGAUAGAGAAUAUAAGGAUGGCGUACAGUUGGAGUGUGUAAUAUAAGCACGUUGCUGACGUGUACAGUGCCCUUUCCCCUGGAUGGAUUGCAGAUGAAUGUUCACGGGGUUAUGUUGAUGUUUGUUUCUCUCUAACUGUGCACAAACCUACUAUCAUUAAAUAGUACCAAAAAAAAAAAAAAAAGCUAGAUCAUAGGUCUUGCGAUUCUAGACUCCUAGUGUAUGGAAAGUUCUAAUAAGAAUGGAGAGAUGUGGACUGGAGAGAUGGCUCAGCCGUUAAAGGCUAGGCUCACAACCAUAAAAUAUAAGAAUGGAGAGAUGCCUUUGCAUUGAUUUAAAAAGAGAACAAGUAAGGAUUGCUUUGAAAAAAAAGUUUUA